GAAACAGUUGCUAAGACUGGAUAGGAAAUUAAAAGGCAUCUUUUAAUUUUUAAAAGACCUUUUUCGGAAGGUAUGCUUAAAGAGGGGCUUGCGCCACAUUAGUUAGUUGGUAAGGUAAAGGCUUACCAAGACGAUGAUGUGUAGCUGGACUGAGAGGUUGAACAGCCACAUUGGGACUGAGACACGGCCCAAACUCCUACGGGAGGCAGCAGUAAGGAAUUUUUGGCAAUGGAGGAAACUCUGACCGAGCGACGCCGCGUGAACAAUGAAGUACUUCGGUAUGUAAAGUUCUUUUAUUGAAAAAGAAAAAAUAGUGGAAAAACUAUCUUGACAUUAUUCAAUGAAUAAGCCCCGGCUAAUUAUGUGCCAGCAGCCGCGGUAAUACAUAAGGGGCGAGCGUUAUCCGGAAUUAUUGGGCGUAAAGGGUGCGUAGGCGGUUUGAUAAGUCUAUAGUUUAAUUGCAGUGCUUAACGCUGUACCGCUAUAGAAACUGUCUGACUAGAGUUAGAUAGAGGCAAGCGGAAUUCCAUGUGUAGCGGUAAAAUGCGUAAAUAUAUGGAGGAACACCAGAGGCGUAGGCGGCUUGCUGGGUCUUAACUGACGCUGAGGCACGAAAGCGUGGGGAGCAAACAGGAUUAGAUACCCUGGUAGUCCACGCCGUAAACGAUGAGUACUAAGUGUCGGGUUUUGGCUCGGUACUGAAGUUAACACAUUAAGUACUCCGCCUGAGUAGUACGUACGCAAGUAUGAAACUUAAAGGAAUUGACGGGACCCCGCACAAGCGGUGGAUCAUGUUGUUUAAUUUGAAGAUACACGAAAAACCUUACCAGGUCUUGACAUAAUUUUGCGACAUUAUAGAAAUAUAAUGAAGGUUAUCAGAAUUACAGGUGGUGCAUGGUUGUCGUCAGCUCGUGUCGUGAGAUGUUAGGUUAAGUCCUAAAACGAGCGCAACCCUUGUCGUUAGUUGCGACCACAUAAUGGUGAGCACUUUAGCGAGACUGCCAAUGAAAAAUUGGAGGAAGGUGAGGAUUACGUCAAAUCAUCAUGCCCCUUAUGAUCUGGGCUACAAACGUGAUACAAUGGCUUUUACAAAGAGUAGCUACAACGUGAGUUUUUAGCCAAUCUCAAAAAAACAGUCUCAGUUCGGAUUGAAGUCUGCAACUCGACUUCAUGAAGUUGGAAUCGCUAGUAAUCGCGAAUCAGCAUGUCGCGGUGAAUACGUUCUCGGGGUUUGUACACACCGCCCGUCA
Molecule: ribosomal RNA, 1250 nt
Filed under: Candidatus Phytoplasma phoenicium
Lineage: Bacteria; Bacillati; Mycoplasmatota; Mollicutes; Acholeplasmatales; Acholeplasmataceae
Description: bacterial SSU rRNA
Rfam family: Bacterial small subunit ribosomal RNA
Source: RNAcentral